Molecule: transfer RNA, 72 nt
Filed under: Paramuricea clavata
Lineage: Eukaryota; Metazoa; Cnidaria; Anthozoa; Malacalcyonacea; Plexauridae
Description: tRNA-Val
Source: RNAcentral
GUUUCCGUAGUGUGGCGGUCAUCACGUGCGCCUAACACGCGCAAGGUACCCAGUUCGAUCCUGGGUGAAACA